UUGGAGGGCAAGUCUGGUGCCAGCAGCCGCGGUAAUUCCAGCUCCAAUAGCGUAUAUUAAAGUUGUUGCAGUUAAAAAGCUCGUAGUUGAAUUUCGGGAUCAAUAUGCCGGUCAUGCCUUGGUAUGCACUGGUAUCUUUGAUUUCUCCCUUCUGACGAACUUUGAUGCCAUUAAUUUGGUGUCAUAGGGAAUCAGGACUGUUACUUUGAAAAAAUUAGAGUGUUUAAAGCAAGCUCACGCUUGAAUACAUUAGCAUGGAAUAAUGAAAUAGGACGUUUGAUUCUAUUUUGUUGGUUUCUAGGAUCGACGUAAUGAUUAAUAGGGAUAGUCGGGGGCAUUAGUAUUCAAUUGUCAGAGGUGAAAUUCUUGGAUUUAUUGAAGACUAACUACUGCGAAAGCAUUUGCCAAGGAUGUUUUCAUUAAUCAAGAACGAAAGUUAGGGGAUCGAAGACGAUCAGAUACCGUCGUAGUCUUAACCAUAAAUUAUGCCGACUAGGGAUCGGAUGAUGUUAAUUUUUUAAUGACUCAUUCGGCGCCUUACGGGAAAC
This 548-nucleotide ribosomal RNA is filed under the name uncultured Glomus. RNAcentral's name for it is "SSU rRNA". It matches the Rfam family "Eukaryotic small subunit ribosomal RNA", at positions 548 to 1098 of the family's 1831-position model. The record is from RNAcentral. Lineage: Eukaryota; Fungi; Glomeromycota; Glomeromycetes; Glomerales; Glomeraceae.